RNAcentral lists this long non-coding RNA (218 nucleotides) under Sorghum bicolor (sorghum). RNAcentral describes it as "long non-coding RNA (SBIC_LNC008046)". Lineage: Eukaryota; Viridiplantae; Streptophyta; Magnoliopsida; Poales; Poaceae. The record is from RNAcentral.
CUGAGCCUGCUGGUCUUCAAAGGCUCGGUCUUGAUCACCAACGUACGGCUCACCGUCUAUUCCCAAACAUCAACCAACAACACACAAUCCAAUGUAGACAAUCAUACAUAAAGCAACAAGCUAUAAUUAGAACAUUACACCAAACAGUGGUAAAACAAAUAUAAAAGUUUAUGAAAAUAUUCUAAGCAGCGCUACGAUCACACAAACGUAAAGUUCAC